UGUGGCUGUACCACAUUGAAAGCACCUGAUCACAUCUGAUCUUGGAGGCUAAGCAGGGUCAGGCUUAGAUAGUACUUGGAUGAAAUAUGGGAGGAAUUCAACUUGGUUAUUU
This 112-nucleotide ribosomal RNA is filed under the name Octodon degus (degu). Lineage: Eukaryota; Metazoa; Chordata; Mammalia; Rodentia; Octodontidae. The record is from RNAcentral.